UAGCGAAGGGGGCUAGCGUUGUUCGGAAUUACUGGGACGUAAAGCGCACGUAGGCGGUUCGUUAUGUCGGAUGUGAAAGCCCUUGGCUUAACCGAGGAAGUGCAUCCGAAACUGGCGAGCUAGAGUACGAAAGAGGAAUCGCGGAAUUCCCGGUGUAGAGGUGAAAUUCGUAGAUAGUCGGGAGGAACACCGGUGGCGAAGGCGGCGAUCUGGUGCGAUACUGACGCUGAGG
Molecule: ribosomal RNA, 232 nt
Filed under: uncultured bacterium
Lineage: Bacteria
Description: partial 16S ribosomal RNA
Rfam family: Bacterial small subunit ribosomal RNA
Source: RNAcentral